GCAUUAGUAGCUCAGUAUUCAGAGCGCCGGUCUUGUAAAUCGGAUGUCGGGGGUUAAAGUCCCCCCUAUCGCU
Molecule: transfer RNA, 73 nt
Filed under: Centropyge acanthops (orangeback angelfish)
Lineage: Eukaryota; Metazoa; Chordata; Actinopteri; Pomacanthidae
Description: tRNA-Thr
Rfam family: tRNA
About the family: Transfer RNA (tRNA) molecules are approximately 80 nucleotides in length. Their secondary structure includes four short double-helical elements and three loops (D, anti-codon, and T loops).
Source: RNAcentral